AACAUCUCAAAUCUCUUUGCGCUUGCGCAUAAGAGACUUGGAUUUGAGCGAUCCCGACUCCUUCGACAGAAAGAGGAGGGUCGCUUGAAAUGCAGGUGCAGCUGGACAUUCUUCUGAGCUAAAAGCAUAUCUAUUUAGUCCCGUCAAACGGAUUAUUACUUUUGCUUCAGCUAAUACAAAGGUCGAAUGAACUACCAACGCUGAUUGCAGGAAAACUCGUUUUUUUACUAAAACUUGUAA
RNAcentral lists this unclassified non-coding RNA (240 nucleotides) under uncultured Mortierella. Its description in RNAcentral is "sequence contains ITS2". Lineage: Eukaryota; Fungi; Mortierellomycota; Mortierellomycetes; Mortierellales; Mortierellaceae. The record is from RNAcentral.